GGAAGUAAAAGUUGUAACAAGGUUUCCGUAGGUGAACCUGCGGAAGGAUCAUUAGUGAACGCCCUCACGGGCUUAUAACUAUUCCAAACCUCUGUGAACCGUGCCCUUCGGGGCUAUUUUACAAACAUGGUGUAAUGAACGUCAUAUAUCAUAACAAAACAAAACUUUCAACAACGGAUCUCUUGGCUCUC
RNAcentral lists this unclassified non-coding RNA (191 nucleotides) under plant metagenome. Its description in RNAcentral is "partial contains small subunit ribosomal RNA, internal transcribed spacer 1, and 5.8S ribosomal RNA". The stretch from base 1 to 54 matches the Rfam family "Eukaryotic small subunit ribosomal RNA", at positions 1778 to 1831 of the family's 1831-position model. The record is from RNAcentral.